This is a long non-coding RNA of Melanaphis sacchari, 515 nucleotides long. RefSeq lists it as uncharacterized. NCBI's taxonomy places the organism in Eukaryota, Metazoa, Arthropoda, Insecta, Hemiptera, Aphididae. The record is from RefSeq and is a predicted model, not a curated record. The transcript is spliced from 4 exons.
AUAAUAUUCAUGAUAACAUAAAAUUAUUAUUAUAAAUAGGUACUAAAAGUUCACGAAGAUGUAAGUGUUCUAUUCAGUGAAAGAAUUAUGGAAGAAGUAAUUAAACAGACUGCAAAAGAAGAAUCAUUGAAAGCGAUGCUGAAGUCAUGCAAAAAGAAGUUUUAUAAUAUCAAUACUCACAUCACAAUAGCUACGGUGUUCAAAAAGGAUAUGUAAGAUUAUAGAUGCAUAAUGGAAAGAAUGUAACGUGGAAAAAUAUGUUUCAUUUCUAUCACUAGAUUAUUUAAAUAAAAGCGGUAGUAAACGGUUUUAUUCUGCUCAUUCAAAUAUCAACAAUUUUAUUGAUAUACAGUCAACUCGCAAUAUAACGAAUUUCAAGGGACCGAGAAAAAAAUUCGUUAUAUCGAAAGUUCGUUACAUCGAAAUUCGUUAUAUCAAGAGAAUAUACCAAUUGAAUUCGUUAUAACAUGAUUUAAAACAAAAAUUCAAAAUGUUAUUAUUCGUAUACAUAUGUA